Molecule: non-coding RNA, 471 nt
Organism: Podarcis lilfordi (Lilford's wall lizard)
Lineage: Eukaryota; Metazoa; Chordata; Lepidosauria; Squamata; Lacertidae
Source: the annotation of a GenBank genome assembly
AGCAGAGAGAUCACCUUGCCAACAAAGGUCUGUAUAGUUAAAGCUGUGGCUUUCCCAGUAGUGAUGUAUAGAAGUGAGAGCUGGACCAUAAAGAAGACUGAUCGCCGAAGACUUGAUGCUUUUGAAUUCUGGUGCUGGAGGAGACUCUUGAGAGUCCCAUGGACUGCAAGAAGAUCAAACCUCUCCAUUCUGAAGGAAAUCAGCCCUGAGUGCUCACUGGAAGGACAGAUCGUGAAGCUGAGGCUCCAAUACUUUGGCCACUUCACAAGAAGAGAAGACUCCCUGGAAAAGACCCUGAUGUUGGGAAAGAUGGAGGGCACAAGGAGAAGGGGAGGACAGAGGACGAGAUGGUUGGACAGUGUUCUCGAAGCUACCAGCAUGAGUCUGACCAAACUGCGGGAGGCAGUGGAAGGCAGGAGUGCCUGGCGUGCUCUGGUCCAUGGGGUCACGAAGAGUCGGACACGACUAAAC